GCGACUUAUAUUCUGUAGCAAGGUUAACCGUAUAGGGGAGCCGUAGGGAAACCGAGUCUUAACCGGGCGUUAAGUUGCAGGGUAUAGACCCGAAACCCGGUGAUCUAGCCAUGGGCAGGUUGAAGGUUGGGUAACACUAACUGGAGGACCGAACCGACUAAUGUUGAAAAAUUAGCGGAUGACCUGUGGCUGGGGGUGAAAGGCCAAUCAAACCGGGAGAUAGCUGGUUCUCCCCGAAAGCUAUUUAGGUAGCGCCUCGUGAAUUCAUCUCCGGGGGUAGAGCACUGUUUCGGCUAGGGGGCCAUCCCGGCUUACCAACCCGAUGCAAACUGCGAAUACCGGAGAAUGUUAUCACGGGAGACACACGGCGGGUGCUAACGUCCGUCGUGAAGAGGGAAACAACCCAGACCGCCAGCUAAGGUCCCAAAGUCAUGGUUAAGUGGGAAACGAUGUGGGAAGGCCCAGACAGCCAGGAUGUUGGCUUAGAAGCAGCCAUCAUUUAAAGAAAGCGUAAUAGCUCACUGGUCGAGUCGGCCUGCGCGGAAGAUGUAACGGGGCUAAACCAU
This 566-nucleotide ribosomal RNA is filed under the name Salmonella enterica subsp. enterica serovar Muenchen. RNAcentral's name for it is "partial 23S ribosomal RNA". It matches the Rfam family "Bacterial large subunit ribosomal RNA", at positions 623 to 1190 of the family's 2925-position model. Lineage: Bacteria; Pseudomonadati; Pseudomonadota; Gammaproteobacteria; Enterobacterales; Enterobacteriaceae. The record is from RNAcentral. RNAcentral also lists the same sequence under 2 other names.